GUGCUCACUUUGGCAGUACAUACACUAAAAUUGAAACAAUACAGAGAAGAUUAGUAAUGCCCUUGUGCAUAUUCGUGAAGGUCCUACUGUAUAG
Camelus dromedarius (Arabian camel) is the source of this 94-nucleotide small nuclear RNA. The record is from Ensembl. NCBI's taxonomy places the organism in Eukaryota, Metazoa, Chordata, Mammalia, Artiodactyla, Camelidae.